This 931-nucleotide long non-coding RNA is filed under the name Ananas comosus (pineapple). RNAcentral's name for it is "long non-coding RNA (ACOM_LNC005531)". The record is from RNAcentral. Lineage: Eukaryota; Viridiplantae; Streptophyta; Magnoliopsida; Poales; Bromeliaceae.
AUUAUUGUGAGUUUUUGUUUAGCCAGAUUAGUUGCUAUAUGAUAUUUUAUUUGAUUAUUAUAUUAUAAAAAUAAUUUUAAUCAUCUAUUUAUAUAAGGGUAAACUUCAAAUACCCCUUUGUGGUUUCACACUUUCUCAUUUUAAUACCAUGUGGUUUAAAGUGUAUCAAGUUAGCCUUGUGGUUUCGCACUUUCUCACUUUAGUACCCUGCGGUUUAAAGUGUAUCAAGUUAAUACCCUGUGGUUUUAUUUUUCUCUUUGUAUUAUCCAUUUCACUAAUUUUUUUCAUUAAAUCAAUAAUAAAGUUAAAAUUAAAGGGUACUAAAGUGAAUAUUCGAUAAACCUUAUGUAUUUGAAGUUUUUUUGCAUAUAAUUUAACAAAAUAUUAACUGAGGAAAAAAAAUUAGCGACAAAGUUAAAACUAAAGGGUACUAAAGUAAAUAUUCGAUAAAACUAUGUAGGGUAUCUAAAGUUUUUUGCAUAUAAUUUAACGAAAUAUUAACAGAGGAGCCAACGAAAAGAGAAAAAUAAAAUCACAUGAUACUAAAUUGAUGCACUUUAAACCAAGGGUACUAAAGUGAGAAAGUGUGAAACAACAGGGUACUAAAUUGAUACACUUUAAACUACAUGGUAUUAAAGUGAAAAAGUACGAAACCACUGGGUAGUAUUUGAAGCUUUCCCUUUAUAUAAUAUAUGUGACUUCUCUUGAAUAAGUUUGAAUAGUUUUGCUGGAACAAUUGAUUCUUUUUUAUUAUAGUUUUAUUUUUUUAAAAGUAUUUAUCUAUAAUAUAGCCUAUAUUUGUUAUUUUGUCCUGCACUGAUACUUUAUUCUCCACAAAUUUUUACUUUAAUAGUAUCUACCUGCCGCAAUGCGCGUGUCACCAUACUAGUUUAGAUGAUUGAAGUAUUCACUUCUAGCUAGCUCAAAAAGU